Molecule: ribosomal RNA, 484 nt
Filed under: uncultured bacterium
Lineage: Bacteria
Description: partial 16S ribosomal RNA
Rfam family: Bacterial small subunit ribosomal RNA
Source: RNAcentral
AUUGAACGCUGGCGGCAGGCCUAACACAUGCAAGUCGAGCGGAUGAAGGGAGCUUGUUCCUGGAUUCAGCGGUGGACGGGUAAGUAAUGCCUAGGCAUAAGCAUGGUAGUGGGGGAUAACGUCCGGCAGCGGGCGCUAAUACCUCAUACGUCAUGCGGGCGAAAGUGGGGGUUCUUCGGACCUCACGCUAUCAGAUGAGACGAGGUCGGUUUGGCUAGUUGGUGGGGUAAUGGCCUACCAUGGCGACGAUCCGUAACUGGCCCGAGGGGAUGAUCAGGAAAACUGGAACGUGAACAGGGUCCGGAUUCCUACGGGAGGAGCCAGUGGGGAAUAUUGGACAAUGGGCGAAAGCCUGAUCCAGCCAGGCCGCUUGGGGGAAAAGGGUCUUGGGUUGGUAAAGCACGUUAAGUUGGGAGGAAGGGCAGUAAGUGAAUACCUAGCUGGAUUGACGGUACCAACAGAAUAAGCAACGGCUAACUACGUG